AGAGGUGGCAAGGCGAUUGCGAGCAACUCUUUAUAUUGAGGAAAUGCUUGAGGAAAGUCCGGGCUUCCGAAAGACCAAACUUGCUGGAUAACGUCCAGUGCGAGCGAUCGUGAGGAGAGUGCCACAGAAACAUACCGCCUUUAGAAGCCAGAAGAAUAAAUAAUGAAGAGGAAGUUAAAUUCCACCUUCAGCGUUUAUUUGCGCUUAGAGGUAAGGGUGCAAAGGUGCGGUAAGAGCGCACCAGCAGCAUCGAGAGGUGCUGGCUCGGUAAACCCCGGUUGGAUGCAAGGCAGAUGGGGCAACGGUUGGUCUUUUUCCCGUCCCGUGUUGCUGGUGAAAUACCCAGCAAAGAGCCGCUUGAGGCAUUUGGUAACAGGUGUCCCAGAUAGAUAAUCGCCCUCUUAGAGCGUUGCUCGUAAGAGAACAGAACCCGGCUUACGUCCACCUCUUCUU
This 453-nucleotide RNase P RNA is filed under the name Myxacorys almedinensis A. RNAcentral's name for it is "Bacterial RNase P class A". It matches the Rfam family "Bacterial RNase P class A". From Rfam's summary of the family: Ribonuclease P (RNase P) is a ubiquitous endoribonuclease, found in archaea, bacteria and eukarya as well as chloroplasts and mitochondria. Its best characterised activity is the generation of mature 5'-ends of tRNAs by cleaving the 5'-leader elements of precursor-tRNAs. Lineage: Bacteria; Bacillati; Cyanobacteriota; Cyanophyceae; Leptolyngbyales; Leptolyngbyaceae. The record is from Rfam by way of RNAcentral.